GUCUUCAAUGUGUGACAGGUUAGUACAGUGGUGAACCUAUAGGUCUUCAGUAUGUGACAGGUUAGUACAGUGGUGAACCUAUAGGUCUUCAGUGUGUGACAGGUUAGUACAGUGGUGAACCUAUAGGUCUUCAGUAUGUGACAGGUUAGUACAGUGGUGAACCUAUAGGUCUUCAGUGUGACAGGUUAGUACAGUGGUGAACCUAUAGGUCUUCAGUGUGACAGGUUAGUACAGUGGUGAACCUAUAGGUCUUCAGUGUGACAGGUUAGUGCAGUGGUGAACCUAUAGGUCUUCAGUGUGUGACAGGUUAGUGCAGUGGUGAACCUAUAGGUCUUCAGUGUGUGACAGGUUAGUACAGUGGUGAACCUAUAGGCCUUCAGUGUGACAGGUUAGUACAGUGGUGAACCUAUAGGUCUUCAGUGUGUGACAGGUUAGUACAGUGGUGAACCUAUAGGCCUUCAGUGUGUGACAGGUUAGUACAGUGGUGAACCUAUAGGUCUUCAGUGUGUGACAGGUUAGUACAGUGGUGAACCUAUAGGUCUUCAGUGUGUGACAGGUUAGUACAGUGGUGAACCUAUAGGUCUUCAGUGUGUGACAGGUUACUACAGUGGUGAACCUAUAGGUCUUCAGUGUGUGACAGGUUAGUACAGUGGUGAACCUAUAGGUCUUCAGUGUGUGACAGGUUAGUACAGUGGUGAACCUAUAGGUCUUCAGUGUGUGACAGGUUAGUACAGUGGUGAACCUAUAGGCCUUCAGUGUGUGACAGGUUAGUACAGUGGUGAACCUAUAGGUCUUCAGUGUGUGACAGGUUAGUACAGUGGUGAACCUAUAGGCCUUCAGUGUGUGACAGGUUAGUACAGUGGUGAACCUAUAGGUCUUCAGUGUGUGACAGGUUAGUACAGUG
This 904-nucleotide long non-coding RNA is filed under the name Salmo salar (Atlantic salmon). Its description in RNAcentral is "lncRNA (ENSSSAG00000100878.1)". The record is from RNAcentral. Lineage: Eukaryota; Metazoa; Chordata; Actinopteri; Salmoniformes; Salmonidae.